CCUCAGCAGGAAAAUUUUUACAUAUCAAUCUAAUCGAAAUGUAUUUUGUGAAGAUCCAACAAAAGCUAUUAAAUGUAUAGUGAGAGAGGAAGGAUAUGUAGGCAUACCAAUUAGGGUAAAAAUAAUAUUUUUUAAAGAAUAUAAUAUUAUUUAAUUUAAAUGACGAAAUUUUUAUGGAUGCAAUAAUACCAAAGAAAAUUUGUGAACUUUUCCUUAUCACAAGUAGGAACUGGAAGGUUUUUCAUUCUUAAUUAUCUCACUCUUAAUGGUUCGAUUUCAAACCAAGUGGCCAUUAUCCCAAGAUAAAAAGUGGUGUAUUAAAGAGAUCUUCACAAUCGAUCACAUUGUGGGUGAUGGAAACUGUUUUUUAGGUGUGUAAGUAAGGAGAUAUCAAAUAGCCAGGAUAAUUAUCUGAGGGAAAAGUGCGUUAGCGAAUAUUUCAAAUUGGAUAUGGGAAAAUUUAUAGGAUUCCCUGUAGAGGAAUACCUAGUUAAUAAAAAUGUUAUGGGAAACAGCGGUGGAAAUAUUAUAUAUAACCACAUUUGUUGCAGACAAAUAUAUUAAUUUAUACU
Gordionus sp. m RMFG-2023 is the source of this 572-nucleotide long non-coding RNA. RefSeq lists it as uncharacterized. The record is from RefSeq and is a predicted model, not a curated record. NCBI's taxonomy places the organism in Eukaryota, Metazoa, Nematomorpha, Gordioida, Chordodea, Parachordodidae. The transcript is spliced from 3 exons.